UUCGGUGGUCAUAGCGAUGGGGUAACGCCCGGUUACAUUCCGAACCCGGAAGCUAAGCCUGUCAGCG
RNAcentral lists this ribosomal RNA (67 nucleotides) under Streptomyces durbertensis. Lineage: Bacteria; Bacillati; Actinomycetota; Actinomycetes; Kitasatosporales; Streptomycetaceae. The record is from RNAcentral.